Molecule: ribosomal RNA, 260 nt
Filed under: uncultured Glomus
Lineage: Eukaryota; Fungi; Glomeromycota; Glomeromycetes; Glomerales; Glomeraceae
Description: partial 18S ribosomal RNA
Rfam family: Eukaryotic small subunit ribosomal RNA
Source: RNAcentral
AAGCUCGUAGUUGAAUUUCGGGGUUAGUAGGUUGGUCAUGCCUCUGGUAUGUACUGGUCUCACUGAUUCCUCCUUCCUUAUGAACCGUAAUGCCAUUAAUUUGGUGUUGCGGGGAAUUUGGACUGUUACUUUGAAAAAAUUAGAGUGUUUAAAGCAAGCUAACGCUUGAAUACAUUAGCAUGGAAUAAUGAGAUAGGACGUUCGAUCUUAUUUUGUUUGGUUUUCUAGGAUUGACGUAAUGAUUAAUAGGGAUAGUUGGG